This 460-nucleotide ribosomal RNA is filed under the name uncultured bacterium. Its description in RNAcentral is "partial 16S ribosomal RNA". It matches the Rfam family "Bacterial small subunit ribosomal RNA", at positions 338 to 795 of the family's 1533-position model. The record is from RNAcentral.
CCUACGGGAGGCUGCAGUGAGGAAUAUUGGUCAAUGGACGAGAGUCUGAACCAGCCAAGUAGCGUGAAGGAUGACUGCCCUCUGGGUUGUAAACUUCUUUUAUAUGGGAAUAAAACGUUCCACGUGUGGGAUUUUGUAUGUACCAUAUGAAUAAGGAUCGGCUAACUCCGUGCCAACAGCCGCGGUAAUACGGAGGAUCCGAGCGUUAUCCGGAUUUAUUGGGUUUAAAGGGAGCGUAGGUGGAUUGUUAAGUCAGUUGUGAAAGUUUGCGGCUCAACCGUAGAAUUGCAGUUGAAACUGGCAGUCUGGAGUACAGUAGAGGUGGGCGGAAUUAGUGGUGUAGCGGUGAAAUGCUUAGAUAUCACGAAGAACUCCGAUUGCGAAGGCAGCUCACUGGACUGCAACUGACACUGAGGCACGAAAGUGUGGGUAUCAAACAGGAUUAGAUACCCGGGUAGUC